CUUGGUGACUAUCGCGGAAGGACAAACACACGAUCCCAUACCGAACUCGACCGUGAAAACUUCCAGCGCUGAUGGUACUGCGUCUUAAGACGUGGGAGAGUAGGUCGUUGCCAAGC
RNAcentral lists this ribosomal RNA (116 nucleotides) under Alphaproteobacteria bacterium. The record is from RNAcentral. Lineage: Bacteria; Pseudomonadati; Pseudomonadota; Alphaproteobacteria.